Sporobacter termitidis DSM 10068 is the source of this 114-nucleotide ribosomal RNA. It matches the Rfam family "Bacterial small subunit ribosomal RNA", at positions 1 to 113 of the family's 1533-position model. NCBI's taxonomy places the organism in Bacteria, Bacillati, Bacillota, Clostridia, Eubacteriales, Oscillospiraceae. The record is from Rfam.
AUUAUUGAGAGUUUGAUCCUGGCUCAGGACGAACGCUGGCGGCGUGCCUAACACAUGCAAGUCGAACGGAGACAAUUGGUUCGCUGAUUGUCUUAGUGGCGGACGGGUGAGUAA